UACGUAGGGUGCAAGCGUUGUCCGGAAUUAUUGGGCGUAAAGAGCUCGUAGGCGGUUUGUUAAGUCCGCUGUGAAAGCCCUGGGCUCAACCUGGGAAUUGCAGUGGAUACUGGCAAGCUAGAGUGCGGUAGAGGAUGGUGGAAUUCCCGGUGUAGCGGUGAAAUGCGUAGAGAUCGGGAGGAACACCCGUGGCGAAGGCGGCCAUCUGGACCAGCACUGACGCUGAGGCACGAAAGCGUGGGGAGCAAACAGG
This 253-nucleotide ribosomal RNA is filed under the name uncultured bacterium. Its description in RNAcentral is "partial 16S ribosomal RNA". It matches the Rfam family "Bacterial small subunit ribosomal RNA", at positions 524 to 776 of the family's 1533-position model. The record is from RNAcentral.